This 302-nucleotide unclassified non-coding RNA is filed under the name uncultured Ascomycota. Its description in RNAcentral is "sequence contains ITS1". The stretch from base 1 to 105 matches the Rfam family "5.8S ribosomal RNA", at positions 50 to 154 of the family's 154-position model. The record is from RNAcentral. Lineage: Eukaryota; Fungi; Ascomycota.
GAAAUGCGAUAAGUAAUGUGAAUUGCAGAAUUCAGUGAAUCAUCGAAUCUUUGAACGCACAUUGCGCCCGCCAGUAUUCUGGCGGGCAUGCCUGUUCGAGCGUCAUUUCAACCCUCAGGCUUCUACAGUCUGGUGUUGGGGAUCGGCACACCGCCGUCCCUCAAAUGCAGUGGCGGUCUCGCAUCAGCGUUGCCUUUGCGCAGUAAUUACUCUCGCACUGGAGCGCGGCGUGGCCCAAGCCGUAAAACCCCAUCUUCUGAAAGGUUGACCUCGGAUCAGGUAGGGAUACCCGCUGAACUUAA